Molecule: long non-coding RNA, 1959 nt
Organism: Triticum dicoccoides
Lineage: Eukaryota; Viridiplantae; Streptophyta; Magnoliopsida; Poales; Poaceae
Exons: 3
Source: RefSeq, a predicted model, not a curated record
GCAUGAUUCUAGCAACAAGUAGACAAUGACUAACCCGAACUGUCGGGCUACAAAUGCACUUCCCACCUCAUUCGUUCCCCUAGGGUUUACCCUGUCAUCCACCUGCAGCGUCGGGUCUGUAGCCUGGCUGUUAAAAUUAGUCCACGGUCUGUGUUGGUAUUCCUGUGGCAGCUCACGGCUUAUUGUCGGAUUUGUUGAUUGUGUGAAAAGUAGGUUCGAAAUGACUGUUUAUGUUAACGCUGCAAGUUCGUGGGACUAGGGAUGUUGACCUUUGGUGAGUGUUUGUUGUGCUAAGGCUAACUAUUGGAUUGAGUUGUCAAAUUGGUGAUUAGCUUGAUCACUUUUUGGGUGCAGUUUGAGGGUAAUAUUUAUAUCUCCUUAGCAAUGAAUUUGAGAAGAAAUUGCUUUAUUUAACUCACUUGGAGGAACAUAUUAUAAUGUUAUAAUGUUAUAAUCCCCAAACAGAAGGCAGACAUAUACUGCAUAAAUGCUUUCUGGUGUUAGAACCUUGAGUGAUUGUUAAUUUUCCUAGGGCGCUUGCCGCGCUGACAGAAAAUUCAUACCAAUCAUUAUCUGACAAAGAUGAAAGUAGAUUUCUGGUUUUAUUCUUGUUCAUUCGUGCUUUUCCUUUUUGAUACUUGCCUUGCACACAAUGUAUGCCAUUCAUGUUUAGUAGCUUUGCUUGUAUUUCUGAGGUUAUACCAACUUAACAUUGAACCUUUUCUCUUUCUCUUUUCGGCAAUACAGGCUUUCCAUAAGGUGGUCCGCAGCUGGGCCUCAAAGAAAUUCAUGACUGGAUGGCCACAGAACACUAAAUAAGUUGGCAAUGGAUACCCUGUGGUCUACCAUUAUAAUUAUGUGUGCAUUUUGGAUCUAUUGGAUGUCUGAGUGUAAUGCUAAUCGACAUUUACUGAUGCAAAGAUUUUGCAGGGAUGUAGAUAUAUAUGGUGAUCACUACGACCUAAGUGUUUCAGUUCGUAUUUAGCAGGAUCACAUGUUGACCAAUGACUCUUUGUUUUCUCACUGAUCCAGUAUACUCAAGAACUUGAAUAUUGUGUUUGCUGUGAGUUAUUGACACUUCCUUGAUUUUUGCAACUCAGGAGUGAAGAUGGCCUUCCUUUGGUAGGCGUAGUGAAUGAAUUUUCUUCUAAUUCAGGCCAUGGUUGAUACCGCUUGGUGGCUGGAUCUGCCAUGGAGUGGCUACCAUGGGCCAACAAGAGCUCAACAAGAGGGCCAAAUUGUUGUUCUUUCCCAGAUCAUCUAAAUCAGAUGGAUGGGCUCCAAACUCCCAGUGCCAUUUGUCACUUUUGUGUUUGAAUUUUUACUCGAGUGCCUUUGGACAUAUGGUACUACGGAGAGGUGACAUUAGCACAAUUGAUGGUUGCUUCUCCUCUCCUGUCGACUAAAUCUUCUUCCUCUAUAUGUCAAUAUAUCAACAAAACAAGAGAUCUCUAAUAUCAUUGUUUUAUGGAGUUAACAGAUUGUUGAAGAUUUUUGCUGCCAUGGAAUUGUGAGUUUGUGACUAUACAUUCUUGUCCUAUAUGUGAAUUGAAGAUAUAUUGUCUCUUUGUGAAUGCAAAUAUCCAGGUAUGUACGCAAGUCCCAACUUUUAUUUACAUAUUUAUUUAUGAAAUGCAUGCAAGCAAGUCACAUCUUACAGACCAUUGCUCACUUAUAGGUAAAUCUAAUGAGUCAUAAAUUAAUCGGUUGGAGAUCGGUAGAAAGUCUAUUGAUAACUGGAGUUUAGAGCUCAAAAUCCUUCUAACUUUUCUACUAAUUGUAUUUUUUUGACAGCUUUCAGAGAGAACAAGUACUGUUGGUCAUUCUCUGACAUGUAUAAUACAAUUUUGAAGAUGUGAAUGGAUGUAUUCAUUUAGUAGCGUAUUAAUAGAUGAUGAAUUCUUUUCUUCGUAGUCAACUGGUGUAUAUCCUGAUAUGUUUAGUCUAUUCCUAAAUUAA